Molecule: long non-coding RNA, 244 nt
Filed under: Elaeis guineensis (African oil palm)
Lineage: Eukaryota; Viridiplantae; Streptophyta; Magnoliopsida; Arecales; Arecaceae
Description: long non-coding RNA (EGUI_LNC073128)
Source: RNAcentral
UCAUUUACAUUAUAUUUCUAUCUUUCUCAAAUCCAUCACAUAGAUUACUUGGACCCAGAUUUUGCUAAAUUGAAAUACACUGAUGUAUAUUUCCUACUAAUUCGGAGGGAUCAAUCCCAUCUUACUCAUGCACUGACUUGAUAAGUACUUGACUAUAUCCAAAAAUCUUUCAUCACUGAAUUAAAAACUCAGUUAGUUCGGCACCAAAGUACAGUGAGUGGUUUGCAAAUCACCAUGGUGAUCU